Molecule: long non-coding RNA, 1378 nt
Filed under: Calidris pugnax (ruff)
Lineage: Eukaryota; Metazoa; Chordata; Aves; Charadriiformes; Scolopacidae
Description: lncRNA (ENSCPUG00000002128.1)
Source: RNAcentral
GGACUGGGAGGGACUGGGAUGUACUGGGAGGGGACGGGGAGAGGCUGGGACAGACUGGAAGGGACUGGGAUGGACUGGGGGGGGAUUAUGGGGGGACUGGAAGGGGAUUGGGAGGGGCUGGGGGGGAAUGAGGUGACUGGGAGGGGACUGGGGUAUACUGGUUUAUACUGGGGAGCUAGUGGGAGGCUACUGGGCAACAGUCGGGGUGGACUGGGAGGUGCUGGGCCAUACUGGGAGAUACUGGGAGACCAUUAAAGUGCACUGGCAGAUACUGGGAUUGCUCUGGGGAGCGUCUAGGGUUACUGGGAGGCUACUGGGUGAUACUGGGAGCUACUGGGGGGUCACUGGGAGCUACUGGUCCAUACUGGGCCAAACUGGGAAGCCAUUAAAAUGCAGUGGGAGAUACUGGGAUGUCUCUGGGGAGGGUUUAGGGGUACUGGGGGGCUACUGGGUGAUACUGGGAGCUACUGGGGGGCCACUGGGAGCUACUGGGGGGUCAUACUGGGCCAAACUGGGAGACCCUAAAAAUGCACUGGGAGAUACUGGGAUGGCUUUGGGGAGGGUUUAGGGGUACUGGGGGGCUACUGGGAGCUACUGGGAGCUACUGGGGGGCUACAGAGAGCUACUGGGGGGUCACUGGGAGCUACUGGUCCAUACUGGGCCAAACUGGGAGACCAUUAAAAUCCAGUGGGAGGCACUGGGGAGCGUCUAGGGUUACUGGGGGGCUACUGGGUGAUACUGGGAGGCUACUGGGAGCUACUGGGGUGUCACUGGGAGCUAUCGGGGGGUGGGGGGGGGGGGCCCUCCCCCCCCCCCCAUUUUUCCCAUUUUCCCCCUUUUUCCCCCCAGACGCUGUGGGUGCGGGGCCUGAACGCGGCGCUGGGGGCCCUGACCCUCUUCCACCUCUCCUACCUGGGCGCCCUCUUCGACGUGGAGGCCGACGACGCGGUGGAGGAGCAGGGGUACGGCAUGGCCUACACCAUCCGCAAAUGGUCGGAGCUGAACUGGGCCAGUCACUGGGUGACACUGGGGUGCUGGGUGCUCACCCGCCUCCUGCGCUGAGGGCAACUGGGAGCACUGGGAGCAACUGGGAGGAACUGGGAGACCUUGGAGGACCGAAAAAGGGGGGGGGCACCAUAGAGAGCGGCCGCUCUAUCCCGCUCCCGGGAGGCCCUACUAGGCCGCAGCCUCUAUGGUUGCACCCGGAAGUGGGUUCCCCCCUUCCUCGUCACGUGGUGCGGCGCGGCGGGCCAAUAAACGCCUUGGCUUUUGGGUCCCCCGCCCUCCGCUCGGCCAAUGGGAACGCGCGGUGAGGAGGAGGGAGGGGGCGGGGCUUGGCGGCGCGGAGUGACUUCCGGGAAAGCGGCGUUUGAACCGA